RNAcentral lists this ribosomal RNA (422 nucleotides) under uncultured bacterium. RNAcentral describes it as "bacterial SSU rRNA". It matches the Rfam family "Bacterial small subunit ribosomal RNA", at positions 355 to 774 of the family's 1533-position model. The record is from RNAcentral.
UGAGGAAUAUUGGGCAAUGCCCGCAAGGGUGACCCAGCAACGCCGCGUGGAGGAUGAAUGUCGUAAGAUUGUAAACUCCUGUUAGAGGGGAAGAAUAGUACCGGUUGGACCGGUAUAUGACUGUACCCUCAGAGAAAGCCCCGGCUAACUACGUGCCAGCAGCCGCGGUAAUACGUAGGGGGCAAGCGUUGUCCGGAUUUACUGGGUGUAAAGGGCGCGCAGGCGGGAUAAAAAGUCAGUGGUGAAAUCCUACAGCUUAACUGUAGAACUGCCUUCGAUACUUUUAUUCGUGAGUUCGGGAGAGAGAGACGGAAUUCCAGGUGUAGGGGUGAAAUACGUAGAUAUCUGGAAGAACACCAGUUGCGAAGGCGGUCUCUUGGUCCGACACUGACGCUGAGGCGCGAAAGCGUGGGGAGCAAACA